This 3129-nucleotide long non-coding RNA is filed under the name Canis lupus familiaris (dog). RNAcentral describes it as "lncRNA (ENSCAFG00845024881.1)". The record is from RNAcentral. Lineage: Eukaryota; Metazoa; Chordata; Mammalia; Carnivora; Canidae.
UUUUUUUUUUUUUGUCAGUGUCUUUCAUAUGCUUCAGCACACCAUCCUCAGCUGUAAGAGGUCUGACUCCGUAACACACACGCGUCUUCUGUUGGCAAAAACGCUGGCCUUAACCGCUUUGUUUACAACAGUGCUGCCAACAAGCUCUGUGACAUUGUGGACGCUUCCCGUUUUGCCAUGGCAACGCAGGGCACUUCUUGUUGAACAAUCCGCAUGCCCUUAAUGUCCACAAAGCAGCCUGGGCAUGCGUUCAGAAGGAAGUGGCCAAAAGCGCAAUGCGAGGUUGACAAAAGGUUUCCUCUCCUUGUCCCUUUUGUGUUGCUGCAUUUUCUUUAUUGAUCUGGGAUUCAUCUAGGUUUCUUAGGUGAAUUACUGGAGGUUGGCGGAUCCCACUGCAAGGUAAUGUGACAGCUCUGCAAGUGUUUUUGGGAGCACAGUCAAGACGGGUUCCACAUCAAGCAACGUAUUAUAUAAGGGGAGAGAACACGCACGCCUGUGCAGCUGUCCUUCUCGUCACCCAGUGGGAGGGAAUGACUCCACGCCCAGCUGUCAGCCAGCCCUGAAUACUCAGAAGCACUGAGACUGAAGGGAAGAAAGCUGACCCCCGUGGGUUUGAUGAUGACUUCAAGAGCAAGCCUCAGCCCUUGACCACGGUAGAUUCAGACACGAUCGGUUUGCUAAGACUCCAGGGGAAUGCAUCCCUCCUGUGAAAUGAGAGACCCUGAAGACAAUCCCCAGGACGGGAGUCCUGAGAAGCUACUCUGGCGGAUACGGAAUUCAUCCCAACUGCGGGCUGGUGGAAGCUCUGCAUUCACGACCACGGUUCGUGUCAAUUCCUGUAUCAAUUUCAACCUCUAUCAAGGCAAAAUUGCCAAGGUCAGGAAAGACCCUUUCAGCAAAGCUCCAUGUUGGAAAUCAGUGCUCAUUUUAAAAGUCCAGUAAGCUUCUCCCUGAAGGUAGGCAAGGUUCGUGGCAAAACAAUAUUCUUAUCUGCUCUUCUUCUUACAUUUGUUCUCCCUUAUUUUUAACAUAGAGGUCCUUAUGCCAUGGGAACAUUCCUUUUUAAUCAGACAUUUCAGCAUUAAAUAAAGAGGAUAAGGACAGUUCACACUUGUCAUGCGGUAACAAUUUAAGAUCAACAGAUUGGACUUAAAUUUAUUUUAAGGGAGAAACGGGACUGAGGCAGCAUUUGAUUCACAUUGCAAAGUCGUGGGUUAUCUCAUUCUUAUUUUGCACAGGUUAGAAUAGCCAGAGAAUAGUAGACCAAGGUUCUGGCUCUAGUGCUAAGCAGCUGGGGGAACAAAGGCAAAUUUGUUUUUCUUUCCAGGACUUGGGUCCUUCCUGUCCAGGAUAGUGUGACAGUUCAUCUUAUGUGGCAACAUGACUGAGCUAAGGGAUGCCCAGGGAGCUGGUGAGACGUUACAUCUGGGUGGGUCUGUGAGGGUCUUUCCAGAAGAGAUUAGUAUUUGAAUUCAUAGACUGAGUGCAACAUGAGCCCCACACCCCUGUGGGUGGGCAUCACCCAAUGCAUUGAGGACCUGGGUAGAAGAAAAGGGCAGAGAAGACCAAAUUCACUCUCUGUUGAGCUGAGGCAUCCGUGUGCUCCUGGCCUUGAAUACCAAUGCUCGGGGUUCUCAGGCCUCAGGCCUCGGACUGAAGUACAACACUGGCUUUCCUGGGGUCUUAGGUAUUCUGGGCUAAUAGUGCAAAAUAGUGCAAACAGGUAUAAGUAACAUGGUAUAAGUUACCAUGGUUGAGUUCUGGUGAGAACCCUAAUUCAUGGGCUGAGGCUUCUUGCUGUAUUCUCAUGUGGCAGAGGGGUAAGGGGGCUCUGUAAGGUCUCCUUGAUAAGGACACUAAUCCUACUCAUGAGAGCUCCAUCCUCAAGACCUAAUCACCUCCCAAAGAUGCAGAUGGUUUUGGUAUAAAGAGAAGCACAUGUAUGGUGACCACACUGCCACCUUUUCCUGGUCAUGGUGAUGGAAGGAUGUCUGCAAAAGGACAGUGAUGAUCACAUUAAAAAGAAUACUUAGUAUAUAAAGGACAAAAUAAAGCUAAAUUAAAAAGAAAAUUAUAUAUAAAUAUAUAAAUACUUAGGAGAGAGAGGUAAUCCUGGUGUGCUCCUUAGGAGCCAAAUGAGAAAUGGCCAUAAAGUUUAGAAAUCUGAAUAAAACUGUUCUUCCUGCCUCUAGGUUAAGAGAACCUUGGCUCAAUGGUCUAAGUAGGGCUCAGUAUAUAUUAUGGGAAAAAAAUCUAUUUUUGAUCAUUUUUGGUAUGGUUAAAUUUUCCACUGAAAAUGUCAUGGUCACACCAUUGAGGAAUCUCUUGAUUCACAAAACAUUAAAAUAAAGUCAAUGGGGCUUGGAAACACACUAUACUUUUCUACCUUCAUUUCCAAUAUAAUGAAUAUGUUUAAUAUCUUCUCCCUUUUGGCUCAAAAUAGAACUUUGAAAAAUGUCAUAAGUGAGAAAGAUCACGGGGAGGGAGAGGGGGAAAGGGAAAGAAUGAAGGAUGUUCUCAAAAUAGAAGACAAACAUCCUUGAAAGAAGGAAACAAAUGACAGAGAAAGGAAAUAAAUAUCAAAGUAUGGAAAAUGCAUCCUUAAAACAGCAGAAGAAAGAACCAGCUUGAGAAUGAUUUUUUUAGAAAACCAUUUUUCAAAGUAACGUUUCUUAUUAUAAAAAUAAUGCUCACUCAUUGCACAACACUCAGCAAACAAAGAAAAGCAUACAAAGGGAAUAAAAAUCAUUCAAAGGCCACCCUACAGAGAAAAAUAUUUUAAUACGAGUAUUUCUUUCAAGUCCUUUUUAUAUUCCUUUAUUUUUACAAAAUGCCAGCAUACACUAAAAUGGUUUUAGACUCUACAUUUUUUCUUUUUUCUUUUUUUACAUUUUUUUCAUUUAAUAUUAUGUUGUGAGCACUUUUCCAUGUAAAAUAGUAUUUGAAAAUAUGAUUUUAUUAGUUAUAUUGGGAGUCAGUAAAGUAGAAUUCAUGGGCCAAAUACUGACCACCAUCUGUUUUCACAUAGCCCACAUGUUAAGCCCACACUGAAAUCGAAUGGCUGAAAAAAAAAUCAAAAUAAGAAUAACUGUUCACAACACAUGAAAAUGAUAUGAAACUCCCCUUUCU